Long non-coding RNA from Mauremys reevesii (Reeves's turtle), 1070 nucleotides. RefSeq lists it as uncharacterized. The record is from RefSeq and is a predicted model, not a curated record. The transcript has 3 exons. NCBI's taxonomy places the organism in Eukaryota, Metazoa, Chordata, Testudines, Geoemydidae.
CGACACAACAGUCUGAUGAUGUCAUAUCAAAAUAUGAUGUCAGCACCACAAAGCAUGAUGAUGUCACGUCGAGCCCACCACAAAGUGAUAAUGGCCACUUCAGAAUGUUCCGAUGGCACAUGCAAAAGUUACAGAGUCACAGGCAAUGUCUCUUUGAAACCGCUUUGUAAGUUGGAGAUGCUGUACUGAGGCAAGGUGGUGCAGUGCUGAAAUGGGAUGUUGAAUGGAAUGUUGCGUUGUCAUGAAAAACAUCAUGUCACACUGAUCGUUUCUGCAGCCCAAGUGUUCUGUCAGGAUGUGUCAGUGGAUCAGGGCCUGAAUCUUCUCUCCUCAUUGCAAAAGCUGUCAUAGAGCUGGCAUUUUCUGCUCAGCAGGGAUCCACUAUGGACAUAGCAGAAGGGCUGAAGGUCAAGAUAAAGCGCCACCCCGGUGUCCCUCCUCUCGUUCUCCGCCUGCAAGCACAGCACUCCAGAGAGUGAAGGCAGGAGGGGAAGUUAGCCAAAUAAAGCAGGCAGAAGGCUUCCUGUGCUUCCCUUCCUCAGAGGCCUGAUGCUGAGCGGAGAUCGCCAUUGCCUGGGAUGCCAUGAGCUCUGCAGGUCAAAGCAGGAAGGCAGCUUAAACAAACAGAGUGGGAACCUGCUCCCCAAACAGAGAGAAUCGUUUAUUUACACAGACGGGUCUUGAAACCAACAAGUGUCCUGUUGCAUUUAUUAAAGGAGAACCCUCCAAUUACUCCUGAAUUCCCUCACCAAAGGCUCCUUAGCAAAGCAAGUGCGAUGUACGGACCCCCUUAAAUGGAGCAGAGUGUCCCGGUGCGGGUCCUUUAGCGAGAGGGGCAGCGUGGCUAGAGCAGGUUAGAGACACAAAUGAAAUGAUGCAGAAACCGCCUCAAGUUUUGUUUUUUGGUUGGUUGGUUUUCUCAGCUGGAAACUCCACGCUGUGAUUUUAGAGCAAAAGGGUCUCCGUCCCCAGGAGCGUGGAGGCGCCCGUCUGCCAGCCUGCGACGCUGUCCCAGGAGGUGUGCGUCCUGUAUUUGAGAUGUCACAUAGCGGUUGCUGAGCGCCUCUGAC